AUUAAAAACUAAGGCAAAACCUGUUUAGUAAGCCCAUGGCCAAAAACUGGCUUAAAAAAACAACAUUAAAAGCUAGGUUUAAAAAGGCAAUUUAGUAAGCACAUGAUAAAAAAAAGUGAAUAAAAACAUUCAGUAUCAGGAUAGGUUAAGAAAAAAGGUUAAAAACAGCAAGAAAAGGGAAUUUAGUAAGCACUAAAAAUUAGGAAGUAAUAAAAAAGUGAAUAAAAAAGUAUUCAGUAACAGGGGGAAAAUAGAGAGCACAUGGCUGAAUUGGAGAAAGAGAAAGAGAUCUUUACCUUUCCUAAAAAACAGGGCAAGAAAAGGGGAAAAAUAGAGAGCACAUGGUUGCAGAGCCUGUUUUGUAAGCACAUGAUAAAAAAGUGAAUAAAAAAGCAUUCAGUAACAGGGGAGGUUAAAAGAACGAACAGGGGGAAAAUAGAGAGCACAUGGUUGAAUCAAAGAGAGAGAGAGGAUCUUUACCUUACAUUAAAAGCUAUAAAAACAGGAUUAAAAAGUAAAUUUAGGAAGAACACGAUAAAAAAAUGAAUAAAAAAAGCAUUAAACAAUAUUAAAAACUAAGGCAAAACCUGUUUAGUAAGCACAUGGCCAAAAACUGGCUAAAAACAUUAAAAGCUAGGUUUAAAAAGGCAAUUUAGUAAGCACAUGAUAAAAAAAGUGAAUAAAAAAACCACAUUCAGUAUCAGGAUAGGUUAAGAAAAAAAGGUUAAAAAACAGGGCAAGAAAAAGGAAUUUCGUAAGCACAUAAUAAAAAAGUGAAUAAAAAAGCAUUCAGUAACGGGGAAAAUAGAGAGCACAUGGCUGAAUUGGAGAGAGAAAGAGAUCUUUACCUUUCCUAAAAAACAGAGCAAGAAAAGGGGAAAAAUAGAGAGCACAUGGUUGCAGAGCCUGUUUAGUAAGCACGUGAUAAAAAAAUGAAUAAAAAAACAUUCAGUAUCAGGGUAGAUUAAAAGAAAGAACAGAGGAAAGAGAGA
Long non-coding RNA from Dermochelys coriacea (leatherback sea turtle), 992 nucleotides. RefSeq lists it as uncharacterized. The transcript is spliced from 3 exons. The record is from RefSeq and is a predicted model, not a curated record. Lineage: Eukaryota; Metazoa; Chordata; Testudines; Dermochelyidae.